AGAGUUUGAUCAUGGCUCAGAACGAACGCUAGCGGCGCGCUUUAAGCAUGCAAGUCGAGCGGUAAGGCCUUCGGGUACACGAGCGGCAAACGGGUGAGUAACACGUGACUAUCUACCUUAGGGUGGGGGAUAGCCUGUGGAAACGCAGGGUAAUCCCGCAUAUUCCCUUUUGGGCAAAACUACGGUGCCCUAAGAUGAGGUCGCGGCUCAUUAGCUAGUAGGCGGGGUAAUGGCCCACCUAGGCUUUGAUGAGUAGCCGGACUGAGAGGUUGGCCGGCCACAUUGGGACUGAGACACGGCCCAGACUCCUACGGGAGGCAGCAGCUAGGAAUCUUCCGCAAUGGGCGCAAGCCUGACGGAGCGACGCCGCGUGUACGAUGACUGCCUAUUGGGUUGUAAAGUACUUUUAUCUAUGAAGAGGGCUAGACAUUAGGUUUAGUUGACGGUAAUAGGUGAAUAAGCCCCGGCUAAUUCCGUGCCAGCCGCCGCGGUAAUAC
RNAcentral lists this ribosomal RNA (497 nucleotides) under uncultured bacterium. RNAcentral's name for it is "partial 16S ribosomal RNA". It matches the Rfam family "Bacterial small subunit ribosomal RNA", at positions 8 to 526 of the family's 1533-position model. The record is from RNAcentral.